Molecule: ribosomal RNA, 538 nt
Filed under: fungal endophyte
Lineage: Eukaryota; Fungi
Description: eukaryotic LSU rRNA
Rfam family: Eukaryotic large subunit ribosomal RNA
Source: RNAcentral
CGGAGGAAAAGAAACCAACAGGGAUUGCCUCAGUAACGGCGAGUGAAGCGGCAACAGCUCAAAUUUGAAAUCUGGCCCUAGGCCCGAGUUGUAAUUUGCAGAGGAUGCUUUUGGUGCGGUGCCUUCCAAGUUCCCUAGAACGGGACGCCAGAGAGGGUGAGAGCCCCGUACAGUUGGACACCAAGCCUUUGUAAAGCUCCUUCGACGAGUCGAGUAGUUUGGGAAUGCUGCUCAAAAUGGGAGGUAUAUUUCUUCUAAAGCUAAAUACCGGCCAGAGACCGAUAGCGCACAAGUAGAGUGAUCGAAAGAUGAAAAGCACUUUGAAAAGAGGGUUAAACAGCACGUGAAAUUGUUAAAAGGGAAGCGCUUGUGACCAGACUUGCGUCCGGUGAAUCACCCAGCUCUCGCGGCUGGGGCACUUCGCCGGCUCAGGCCAGCAUCAGCUCGCUGUCGGGGACAAAAGCUUCAGGAACGUAGCUCUCUUCGGGGAGUGUUAUAGCCUGUUGCACAAUACCCUUCGGCGGGCUGAGGUACGCGC